This 242-nucleotide long non-coding RNA is filed under the name Setaria italica (foxtail millet). RNAcentral's name for it is "long non-coding RNA (SITA_LNC003021)". The record is from RNAcentral. Lineage: Eukaryota; Viridiplantae; Streptophyta; Magnoliopsida; Poales; Poaceae.
GGCAAUCGAACAUUCUCUGGUAGAACACCCCUCAAUACAACUGGAAGCAACUGGGUCACAACAUGUGGCGAUCAUGGGCCUUGAGAUUUGUGAACUUCUUUUCUUUCAUAUUUAUUAUUCUCUUUAUAUUGGAGGAGUACCCAUACGGGACCUUUAGACUAUUCAAGCAUUCAAACAUACUAUCCUUCUCUUCCUUGCUGAGAGUGUAACUAGCAGGACGUAAGUAGUGCUAUCCGUUAUCU